RNAcentral lists this ribosomal RNA (253 nucleotides) under uncultured bacterium. RNAcentral describes it as "partial 16S ribosomal RNA". It matches the Rfam family "Bacterial small subunit ribosomal RNA", at positions 524 to 776 of the family's 1533-position model. The record is from RNAcentral.
UACGAAGGGGGCUAGCGUUGUUCGGAUUUACUGGGCGUAAAGCGCACGUAGGCGGAUCUUUAAGUCAGGGGUGAAAUGCCGGAGCUCAACUUCGGAACUGCCUUUGAUACUGGGGAUCUUGAGUUCGGGAGAGGUGAGUGGAAUUGCGAGUGUAGAGGUGAAAUUCGUAGAUAUUCGCAGGAACACCAGUGGCGAAGGCGGCUCACUGGCCCGAUACUGACGCUGAGGUGCGAAAGCGUGGGGAGCAAACAGG